AAACCGCCUAGAGGUAAACGGGUGGAUCCGCAAAGUCGGCCUGCGGAAUUCAGCUCGGGAGGCUCUCGGGCGCCCGUCGCCGGGCCGGGGAUGCAUCACCUUGCACUCUCCCGGCGCGGGACGCCCGCCGACCGUGUGCACUUUCCGCAGGCAGAGCGCCACGACCGGUUCUCGGCUGCGGUCAGAAGGGGGCGAGGAAGGUAGGCGCGCUUCGGUCCCCUCGCGGGGCCAGCGCGCUGUUACAGCCUCGCCCAUCCCGAUCCGCCCGAGGACCGAGGAGCCGCCGCCGGCGUCUCGGCCGCCCGCGCUUUCCUGGGACGUUCGACUGGCAGAGACUGGGCAACCGUGUCUGCCGACCGCUUCCCCGGAUGGACAGCGGGUCCGCGCCCGCCGGCACAGGGUCGGUGGCGAAUCGGUCGGCCCUCCACCCGACCCGUCUUGAAACACGGACCAAGGAGUCUAACAUGCGCGCGAGUCGUUGGGUAGUACGAAACCCGAAGGCGAAGUGAAAGCGAGGGCCGGUCUCCGCGACCGUUGCUCAGGUGGGAUCCCGCCUCUCUUGCUUAGGGGGUGGGCGCACCACCGGCCCGUCUCGUCAGCGUCGUCUGUGAGGCGGAGCAUGAGCGCGCACGUUGGGACCCGAAAGAUGGUGAACUAUGCCUGAGUAGGACGAAGCCAGAGGAAACUCUGGUGGAGGUCCGCAGCGAUUCUGACGUGCAAAUCGAUCGUCAAACUUGGGUAUAGGGGCGAAAGACUAAUCGAACCAUCUAGUAGCUGGUUCCCUC
RNAcentral lists this ribosomal RNA (785 nucleotides) under Epidendrium sordidum. Its description in RNAcentral is "eukaryotic LSU rRNA". The stretch from base 450 to 785 matches the Rfam family "Eukaryotic large subunit ribosomal RNA", at positions 665 to 961 of the family's 3401-position model. Lineage: Eukaryota; Metazoa; Mollusca; Gastropoda; Epitoniidae. The record is from RNAcentral.